RNAcentral lists this ribosomal RNA (332 nucleotides) under uncultured eukaryote. RNAcentral describes it as "partial 18S ribosomal RNA". It matches the Rfam family "Eukaryotic small subunit ribosomal RNA", at positions 1470 to 1796 of the family's 1831-position model. The record is from RNAcentral.
CCCUUAGAUGUUCUGGGCUGCACACGUGCUACACUGGCAGGUUCAGCGAGCUUCAUGCCCUGAUCUGAAAGGAAUGGGAAGUCUUUUCAAAACCUGCCGUGCUUGGGAUAGAUGUUUGCAAUUAUUCAUCUUCAACGAGGAUUGCCUUGUAAGCGCACGUCAUCAGCGUGCAUUGAAUACGACCCUGUAUUCUGUACACACCGCCCGUCGCUCCUACCGAUUGAAGUUUUCGGUGAGUUGACAGGAGGAUUUUUUUGAAACUGGUUCGCCAGUGGAUUUUAGAUCCAAAUGCCAACGAAUCGAUGGCUUUAGAGGAAGGAGAAGUCGUAACA